This 402-nucleotide transfer-messenger RNA is filed under the name Crocinitomicaceae. RNAcentral describes it as "UBA952 sp016866255 Standard tmRNA". It matches the Rfam family "transfer-messenger RNA". From Rfam's summary of the family: Bacterial tmRNA, also known as 10Sa RNA or SsrA, is named for its dual tRNA and mRNA-like properties. RNAcentral also lists the same sequence under 1 other name. The record is from RNAcentral. Lineage: Bacteria; Pseudomonadati; Bacteroidota; Flavobacteriia; Flavobacteriales.
GGGGUCGACAUUGGAUUUGACAGCGAUAGCGGCAGUCAGGUGUCAGCAUGCAGAGGGUUGUGGUGAACCUCUAUAAUAUCUUGUCACGAACAAUAAAUGACAAUACGUCAUACGCACUUGCUGCUUAAUUAACGGAAUGUUAGUUGGCUUAAUUCAACUGAAGCACAGUAGGUUGAACAAGUACCUUCGGUAGGCGACGGCCCGUUUUGCUUACCCAUCGAAGGUUCAUCCCAUCGGGCUGGUAAACGUGAGGCUACUAAGCGGUUACGAGAACUCAGUGGCUAAGUUCAAGACCGGGUGUUCCUGUCCACUCUUGGAUCGAAAACUAACCAGGAAAUAAGCAUGUAGAAAGCUUGAAUUCCCAUUGUUUGGACGAGGGUUCGAACCCCUCCGACUCCACUC